AUUGAACGCUGGCGGCAGGCCUAACACAUGCAAGUCGAGCGGAUGAAGGGAGCUUGCUCCUGGAUUCAGCGGCGGACGGGUGAGUAAUGCCUAGGAAUCUGCCUGGUAGUGGGGGGUAACGUCCGGAAACGGGCGCUAAUACCGCAUACGUCCUGAGGGAGAAAGUGGGGGAUCUUCGGACCUCACGCUAUCAGAUGAGCCUAGGUCGGAUUAGCUAGUUGGUGGGGUAAAGGCCUACCAAGGCGACGAUCCGUAACUGGUCUGAGAGGAUGACCAGUCACACUGGAACUGAGACACGGUCCAGACUCCUACGGGAGGCAGCAGUGGGGAAUAUUAGACAAUGGGCGAAAGCCUGAUCCAGCCAUGCCGCGUGUGUGAAGAAGGUCUUCGGAUUGUAAAGCACUUUAAGUUGGGAGGAAGGGCAGUAAGUUAAUACCUUGCUGUUUUGACGUUACCAACAGAAUAAGCACCGGCUAACUUCGUG
This 484-nucleotide ribosomal RNA is filed under the name uncultured bacterium. RNAcentral describes it as "partial 16S ribosomal RNA". It matches the Rfam family "Bacterial small subunit ribosomal RNA", at positions 30 to 507 of the family's 1533-position model. The record is from RNAcentral.